GCUCCACUCCGUUCCCAAUAGCAGUAGAAUCAUAUGGUCAAUACAAACAAGUGCAGGAUGUCAAUCAAGUGACAGAGCCGGGGCAGAUGAUCUUUAGCCAACUACUCCUUAUGAAUCUGAAUGGAAUGCAUAUCUCAAUUGGGAAGAAAGCAAAGGUCGAGGGUCAAUACUUGAAAAUGAAGGAUCAGGAGAUGCAAACUAAGAUUUCCGAUCUAGAUCUGGUUCAUCACCGGCACCCAAUGGUUUUCUUCGGAGAAAGAUCAGAUAUUCGUUUAUUCAGUGCAAAUCCGGAUUCCGGCACCAAGGA
RNAcentral lists this unclassified non-coding RNA (307 nucleotides) under Zea mays. RNAcentral's name for it is "misc RNA Zm00001eb436370". Lineage: Eukaryota; Viridiplantae; Streptophyta; Magnoliopsida; Poales; Poaceae. The record is from RNAcentral.